CCUACGGGGGGCAGCAGUGGGGAAUAUUGGACAAUGGGGGGAACCCUGAUCCAGCCAUGCCGCGUGUGUGAAGAAGGCCCUCGGGUUGUAAAGCACUUUCAGUGAGGAAGAACGCCUGGUGGUUAAUACCCAUCAGGAAAGACAUCACUCACAGAAGAAGCACCGGCUAACUCCGUGCCAGCAGCCGCGGUAAUACGGAGGGUGCGAGCAUUAAUCGGAAUUACUGGGCGUAAAGCGCGCGUAGGUGGCUUGAUAAGCCGGUUGUGAAAGCCCCGGGCUCAACCUGGGAACGGCAUCCGGAACUGUCAAGCUAGAGUGCAGGAGAGGAAGGUAGAAUUCCCGGUGUAGCGGUGAAAUGCGUAGAGAUCGGGAGGAAUACCAGUGGCGAAGGCGGCCUUCUGGACUGACACUGACACUGAGGUGCGAAAGCGUGGGUAGCAAACAGGAUUAGAUACCCCGGUAGUC
Molecule: ribosomal RNA, 465 nt
Filed under: Vreelandella stevensii
Lineage: Bacteria; Pseudomonadati; Pseudomonadota; Gammaproteobacteria; Oceanospirillales; Halomonadaceae
Description: partial 16S ribosomal RNA
Rfam family: Bacterial small subunit ribosomal RNA
Source: RNAcentral